Molecule: ribosomal RNA, 484 nt
Filed under: uncultured bacterium
Lineage: Bacteria
Description: partial 16S ribosomal RNA
Rfam family: Bacterial small subunit ribosomal RNA
Source: RNAcentral
AUUGAACGCUGGCGGCAUGCUUUACACAUGCAAGUCGAACGGCAGCGCGGGCUUCGGCCUGGCGGCGAGUGGCGAACGGGUGAGUAAUGCAUCGGAACGUGCCCAGUAGUGGGGGAUAGCCCGGCGAAAGCCGGAUUAAUACCGCAUACGACCUGAGGGUGAAAGCGGGGGACCGAAAGGCCUCGCGCUAUUGGAGCGGCCGAUGUCGGAUUAGCUAGUUGGUAAGGUAACGGCUUACCAAGGCAACGAUGCGUAGCCGACCUGAGAGGGUGAUCGGCCACACUGGAACUGAGACACGGUCCAGACUCCUACGGGAGGCAGCAGUAGGGAAUCUUCCGCAAUGGGCGAAAGCCUGACGGAGCAACGCCGCGUGAGUGAUGAAGGUCUUCGGAUCGUAAAACUCUGUUAUUAGGGAAGAACAAAUGUGUAAGUAACUAUGCACGUCUUGACGGUACCUAAUCAGAAAGCCACGGCUAACUACGUG